GGGGUUGUGACUCAGUGGUAGAGCGCAUGCCUUGCAUGUGUGAGGUGCUGGGUUUGAUUCUCAGCACCGCA
RNAcentral lists this transfer RNA (71 nucleotides) under Marmota monax (woodchuck). Its description in RNAcentral is "tRNA.Ala". The record is from RNAcentral. Lineage: Eukaryota; Metazoa; Chordata; Mammalia; Rodentia; Sciuridae.